RNAcentral lists this unclassified non-coding RNA (200 nucleotides) under Cladosporium sp. RNAcentral's name for it is "partial internal transcribed spacer 2". Lineage: Eukaryota; Fungi; Ascomycota; Dothideomycetes; Cladosporiales; Cladosporiaceae. The record is from RNAcentral.
UUAAGUUCAGCGGGUAUCCCUACCUGAUCCGAGGUCAACCUUAGAAUGGGUUGGUUUUAUCGGCGUAGCCUCCCGAACACCCUUUAGCGAAUAGUUUCCACAACGCUUAGGGGACAGAAGACCCAGCCGGUCGAUUUGAGGCACGCGGCGGACCGCGUUGCCCAAUACCAAGCGAGGCUUGAGUGGUGAAAUGACGCUCG